UUGUGGAGGAGGACGCCGAAGGUGGGGCUAAUGACUGGGGUGAAGUCGUAACAAGGUAGCCGUACCGGAAGGUGCGGCUGGAUCACCUCCUAACAGGGAGACAAAAACUGAUUGUGAUGUCUGAGUUAAAUAAUCUCAGGCCGCAAUCCUGUCACCUUAGGUCGAUCGGUACCUCAGAUUAAUUAUCUUUUAUUUGGUGAUUAAUUUUAGUUCCUAAACUUUGUCUAGGUCACACUCAACAAUGGUUCUCCUGGGCCAUUAGCUCAGGUGGUUAGAGCGCACCCCUGAUAAGGGUGAGGUCCCUGGUUCAAGUCCAGGAUGGCCCAUUCGGCGUUGGGGGUAUAGCUCAGUUGGUAGAGCGCCUGCUUUGCAAGCAGGAUGUCAGCGGUUCGAGUCCGCUUACCUCCACUGAUAACCACCACGUAUCUCCGAUAUUUAGAGACUGAAUUAGUUGAUGUGAUUUAGACAAUCAUUACUGAAACGAACCUAGCUUUCUAUCAUUCCUAAACUAAUUAAAUAUUAGACAAGGUUGGUAACAAGCUGGGCUCACUUUGAUUCGAAAGAAUCUUAGCGAACCUCAGUAGAACCUUGACAACUGCAUAGAUUAGUCUGGAAAGAAUAAAGCAUCUCAUAGAUGCAUGAUUCUUUCUUUUCCGCUAAAGCAAAUUUUAUAAAUUAGCUUUUAGUAUGAAUUGAAAGAAUUAAUGUUCAAUUCUUAAGUAAUAGUCGAGACUCUAUAGGUAUCAAUACUUUUAUUAGUACAGCAUAUCUAUAGUUUUAAUGGUCAAGCUACAA
RNAcentral lists this unclassified non-coding RNA (795 nucleotides) under uncultured Prochlorococcus sp. RNAcentral's name for it is "partial 16S-23S ribosomal RNA intergenic spacer; may also contain 16S ribosomal RNA and 23S ribosomal RNA". The stretch from base 336 to 408 matches the Rfam family "tRNA". Lineage: Bacteria; Bacillati; Cyanobacteriota; Cyanophyceae; Synechococcales; Prochlorococcaceae. The record is from RNAcentral.